AGAGAAGAAAGAACAAGAGAGAGAGAGAAGUAGGGACGCGAAGAGCAAGUCCCCCCCACCUCCCCAUCACCCCCCACCACCCCUGCGGAGCCAAUAUUUUUUAGAAAUAAUAAAAAAAAUGAUAGUAUGCUGGUGGGACGGAAGCCAUGUUGUAGAGGAACCGUGCAAGAUCAUGAGGCUCAGGGUAGGCCUUGCCACUCGAUGGCGGAAGGAGGAGGGAGGGAAAGAGUCUUGGGGAAGCGGCUGAGAAGUCUUCGAAUUUCAAGAGGACUUAGGAUGUCAAGAAGAUGUCUUAGGAUGUCCGGAAGAGGUUUUAGGAUGCCCAGAAGUAGUCCAAUGAUGUCUAGAAGAAGUCUUUAGGAUGUCAAUAAUAAGUCCCGAAAGCAUCAAGGAAAAGUCUUAAAAGUGUCAAGAAAAAGUCUUAAAAGUGUCAAGAAAAAGUCUUGAUUAAAAGUGUCAAGAAAAAGUCUUAAAAGUGUCAAGAAAAAGUCUUAAAAGUGUCAAGAAAAAGUCUUAGAAUGCCAAGAAAAAGUCUUAGAAUGCCAAGAAAAAGUCUUACGAUGCCAAGAAGUCCGGGGACGUUAAGGAGAAGUCUUAAGAAUGUCAAGAAAACGUCUUAGAAUUCCAGGAAUAGUCUUUAAGGAGUCAAGAAAAGUCUUAGGAUGUCAGAAGAAAGAACGGUGUUUAGGGAAAAUCUUAGGAAAACGAGAAAGAAGGAA
RNAcentral lists this long non-coding RNA (719 nucleotides) under Penaeus japonicus. RNAcentral describes it as "uncharacterized LOC122261311". The record is from RNAcentral. Lineage: Eukaryota; Metazoa; Arthropoda; Malacostraca; Decapoda; Penaeidae.